GCCCGGGUGGCGGAAUAGGCAGACGCAAGGGACUUAAAAUCCCUCGGUGUUAUACACCGUGCCGGUUCGACCCCGGCCUCGGGCACCA
Molecule: transfer RNA, 88 nt
Filed under: Bacillota bacterium
Lineage: Bacteria; Bacillati; Bacillota
Also listed under: 1 other name
Description: tRNA-Leu
Rfam family: tRNA
About the family: Transfer RNA (tRNA) molecules are approximately 80 nucleotides in length. Their secondary structure includes four short double-helical elements and three loops (D, anti-codon, and T loops).
Source: RNAcentral